RNAcentral lists this transfer RNA (73 nucleotides) under Enterobacteriaceae endosymbiont of Donacia proxima. RNAcentral describes it as "tRNA-Val". It matches the Rfam family "tRNA". Rfam says of the family: Transfer RNA (tRNA) molecules are approximately 80 nucleotides in length. Their secondary structure includes four short double-helical elements and three loops (D, anti-codon, and T loops). The record is from RNAcentral. Lineage: Bacteria; Pseudomonadati; Pseudomonadota; Gammaproteobacteria; Enterobacterales; Enterobacteriaceae.
GGGUGAUUAGCUCAGUUGGUAGAGUAUCUCCCUUACAAGGAGGAGGUCGGCGGUUCAAUUCCGUCAUCACCCA